GAUGAAGAACGUAGCGAAAUGCGAUAAGUAAUGUGAAUUGCAGAAUUCCGUGAAUCAUCGAAUCUUUGAACGCACAUUGCGCCCUCUGGUAUUCCGGGGGACAUGCCUGUCCGAGCGUCAUUUGCAACCCUCAAGCCCGGCUUGUGUGAUGGGUGCCGUCCCCUACGGGACGCGCCCCGAAGGCAAUGGCGGCGUCGCGGUUAUCCGAUCAGCCAAAGUGUAUGGGGCUUUGUCACUCACUUUACGGCCCGGACCGGCGCCAGUCCGAAUCAAUCUUUUUUCUAAAGUUGACCUCGGAUCAGGUAGGGAUACCCGCUGAACUUAAGCAUAUCAAUAAGCGGAGGA
RNAcentral lists this unclassified non-coding RNA (345 nucleotides) under soil metagenome. Its description in RNAcentral is "partial contains 5.8S ribosomal RNA, internal transcribed spacer 2, and large subunit ribosomal RNA". The stretch from base 1 to 120 matches the Rfam family "5.8S ribosomal RNA", at positions 35 to 154 of the family's 154-position model. The record is from RNAcentral.